UGCAGGCUUCCCCAAACUCAGGCCCUCCAGAUGUUGCUGAACUACAACUCCCAUGAUUCUAUGAAUGAAAUAGAUAGGCUGAGAAUCAUGGGAGUUGUAGUUCAGCAACAUCUGGAGGGCCUGAGUUUGGGGAAGCCUGCUUUAUUGA
This 148-nucleotide microRNA precursor is filed under the name Pelobates cultripes (western spadefoot toad). The record is from RNAcentral. Lineage: Eukaryota; Metazoa; Chordata; Amphibia; Anura; Pelobatidae.